This is a long non-coding RNA of Folsomia candida, 795 nucleotides long. RefSeq lists it as uncharacterized. NCBI's taxonomy places the organism in Eukaryota, Metazoa, Arthropoda, Collembola, Entomobryomorpha, Isotomidae. The record is from RefSeq and is a predicted model, not a curated record. The transcript has 2 exons.
CUUGAUAAAACGAAAUAAAUCCCACUAAAACCAAAAAAACUUAAUAAAACAAACCAAAACCAUAAAACCCAUUUAAACAAGUGACCCAUAAUUUUUUAUAUAUCACUCUGGCCUAUUCCGAAUCUUGGUUCUGGUACGGGUAGAAAUUAUCGGGUCUGGGUUCAGGUUCCGUCUAGAGUUACAACCCGUGCGCAACUCUACCAAACAUAAACUCCAACGGCCAACCACCGAAACACUUCCUUUCUUUCCUCUCUGCUGUCCGUUGGAUUCCCUCCUGAAUUAAAAAAUAAUAAUUGAUUAAUUCCUCCUAAAAUAAUUUGCGAGUGAAAAUGGGUAAAACUAAGGACCCUGACGCACCAAAGCGCCCCCUCAGCGCUUUUUUCUAUUUUCUGGUGAAAUGAGGCCUAAGAUUCGCCAAGAAAAUCCCGGCCUUAGUUUGGGCGAAAUGGGGAAGGAGUUGGGGAAACGUUGGGCCUCAAUUGACGCCGCCUCCAAGAAAAAGUACGAAAAGGCUGCCGCUGCUGCAAAGGAGGAGUACCAGAAGAAAAUGGCCAAGUAUAAGGGAGAGUCGGCUCCAAAGGGGAAAAGGAAGAAUUGAAGAACUGACGACUGCAUAAUUGAUGGACAAAUUGUUGUCUACCUCAUUUAAUUCCAUUUUCUCAUCUGUAGAACUAAAUAUCAAGAUAAUAUUUGUUGUGUUUGUUGUUUGUUUGUUUGUUGUUCCCUAAUUUUUUGUGUCUAAUUUUUUAUAUGAAAUUUUAAAUUGGUAUGGAUUAAAUGAGUUUGAAUUUUGUA